Oncorhynchus nerka (sockeye salmon) is the source of this 2234-nucleotide long non-coding RNA. RefSeq lists it as uncharacterized. The transcript is spliced from 3 exons. The record is from RefSeq and is a predicted model, not a curated record. Lineage: Eukaryota; Metazoa; Chordata; Actinopteri; Salmoniformes; Salmonidae.
UGAUACAGAGAUUUAAAUCACACUUCCCCUAGGUGUUUUUUUGUACCUGAUCUCUGGAACCUGCUGCUCUCCUCUCUCCUUUUUCCCUUUCUCUCCUCCUUUCUUUCUUUCCCAGGGGCCUGCUGAGAGACACUUAACUGUUUCACAGUCAAUGAUUUACACUCGGGAGUGGAGACAGACCGCCAAAGCUUUGCUGGACUGAGCCCAUCAUAACUGUACGCUGGACUGAAAAGAAGACUAUAAUACGAUAGUCUUCCUAUACUAGAGGGGAACUUCAAAGUGAACCACAACAGCAGUAGCACGAAAUGUGUGAGCAGCAGCUACAGAUUAAAAGUGGAUCCACAGAAACAUCCCAUGACCUCAUGGAAUGUUGACACGGCGCUGUCUCAAGGGGAACGUGGGCAGACGUUUUGUGGCAGCACGCAUAGGCAGACCAUGACUGUUACGUCUUGGAACACACCUCUGGAGUACCUCUCUCAGAGGUAAAUACAGGCUCGGGAGAGGCGAAGGUCGAAAUAUGCAUCCUCCAAAACAUGACCGCCAAACCACGCUUCUUAACACCUGCCCGCUUACACCAGAAGCCAACUGCACCAGUGUGUGGGUGGAAACAUCAUUCAACUGACGACUGAAGUCAGCCUGCAGGCACCCGGCACACCACAAGGAGUCACUAGAGAGCGGUGAACUAAGUCAAUUCAUAUAUAUAUAUAUUUUUAAAAGAUAUUCUCACAUAGUUUGUAGCUUAGACCUUAGACCCUAUUUCACAUCUAAGAUUGUGUUGAGACAACAUGCUCUUGAAUACAGGGUGGGCGUCAUGUUUUGGCUGAUAAAAUGUACUAAAAUGGGAAUGUUGACUUGAAUGGGAAUAUCUGUUUAAAAUUAUACUGACAAUCCUCCCUAGGAAACCUAUUGAAAUAUAGAUAACAGAACAAACAUGACCAUUGAAGUUGACAUUCAACAGUGCGUGAUAAUCUUUGUGGUAGUAAUUAGAAGUUACUAAUCAUUACCACAAAGAAUUUAGCUGGUGUACCUGGUCUGAAAGGAUAGGUCCAGUCUAUGAAUUAUAUUUCUAUGAGUUUAAUGACACCCUGUAUUCAUGAACAAGUUGACUCAACCAAUGGCGGGCACAACGCAAAAACUUCAGAUGUAAAAUAGGGUCUAAGCUACAACAUAUGCGAAUAUGAGAAAACUAAAAAUGCAUACACAGAUUAGUUAAUUGACAUUAAAGUUUACAUUUGAGACAUUUUGUAAAAAUAAAACACUGUCUUCAAUAAAUAAAAUAAUUUGACAACACUUGAUAAUCUUAUAAAUUAUAUUAAACUCAACCUUUUAUAUUUUCCAAUAAUGAAGACAAGCACUUAUGUCCUGAAUGUUUUGGCAUUCAGGUUCAAAAAGCCACAUUCUGACCACUUCUUCCAUAGAUGUUUUCCUAUGUGAAGUUUUAUUUAAAUCAAAAGUGAUGCUGUCAAAAAAGUGAUUAAAUUCUAACGAAUUUACCCAAUUUGAAGUAAGUUUACAUUCUGAAUUGAAAUGGAAUUGACCCCAACCCUGGUAAAUAACAUUACACCCUAAGAAGAGCGAUGCAACAUUUGUUUGCAGUCUUUUAAAAGUCAAAUAUACAUCUUACAAAUUAUUCAGCCUCUUAAGGUAAUAUAUUAUUUGUAUAUAUAAUUAUAACAUUUGGGGAUGAACUUACUUUAGGACACAAAGCAACUCCCUUUCAUUGAAUCAUGUGCCAAGUGCUAUCAUUCUUCCAAUCGUGUCACACAAUGGAACUGCUAAGUGUUUUCAGAACAAGACCGUAAUUAGUAGGUAUUUGCUUUCAUUGUUUUUUUCACCCUCCUAACCCCCCUUUCCUGUAAAAACUUUUUACGGGUGAACAUAAUGUCGCAAUGACUGAGUAAAUAUAUACGACUAAAAGCAAUUUGGCAUGGGGAAACUUAGAAGUCCUGUGUAAAUUUAGGAUAUACUAUUUUUUUUUUACCAUAGCCCAUAGAGGCCCUGGUCAAAUGUAGUGCACUAUAUAUAGGGACAAGGUUGCCAUUUGGGACACAUUAACACUGAUUUCACUGCUGACCUGAGACCUGUGGAAAAACAACAUCCACCGUGAUCCCAGGAUAGGAAACUAACGCUGUGAAAUUGUUUAUAGGAACAUUUCACACAACAAUUGUAAAGGAGAAUGUUUUUAUUCUCUUAACCUUAAGGCCUUUCUAUUAAAAACAUUCUACAAAACACUC